This 315-nucleotide unclassified non-coding RNA is filed under the name Hevea brasiliensis (rubber tree). The record is from RNAcentral. Lineage: Eukaryota; Viridiplantae; Streptophyta; Magnoliopsida; Malpighiales; Euphorbiaceae.
AAUUUUGAUAAGUUUGGUUAAAUAGAACUAUAUCUAUGAUUAUAUGAUUUUAAUUUUUUAUUAAAUUUUGUUUUUGUGUAUCUCACCUCAUUCAAGCAUGCGCCUGCAACUGUACCCCAGAACCCCUUUGCAUCUUAGUUCGCCUACUGCCUUUAAUAACUAUGUUGACUAUGAUAUGCCACAUCCUGUGUACUCGUGGCUGGCAUGUGUAAUACAAGUUUAACUUGAAGUAAGUUUUGAAUCUAGAUCAAGUGUUAGAUGGAAUUAUCUUUUCCUUUGCAAAGAGAAGCAAAAGGAAUAAAAAUGAGUUGCUGC